Molecule: RNase P RNA, 368 nt
Filed under: Saprospirales bacterium
Lineage: Bacteria; Pseudomonadati; Bacteroidota; Saprospiria; Saprospirales
Description: RNase P RNA component class A
Rfam family: Bacterial RNase P class A
About the family: Ribonuclease P (RNase P) is a ubiquitous endoribonuclease, found in archaea, bacteria and eukarya as well as chloroplasts and mitochondria. Its best characterised activity is the generation of mature 5'-ends of tRNAs by cleaving the 5'-leader elements of precursor-tRNAs.
Source: RNAcentral
UCUGCAAAGUGUCCCAUCGCAUUUAGUUUUUAGAUUAAAUGAGGAAAGUCCGGACAACGAAGGGCACCGCACCGCUUAAUAAACGGGCAUGCAAAAGUGCAUGACAGAAAGUGUCACAGAAACUAUACUUCCAUCCCGACGGGGGUGGUAAAGGUGAAAACGUGCGGUAAGAGCGCACGACUCUCAGAAGUAAUUCCAAGAGUGGACAAACCUUGCGGGUUGAAAUGUCAUGUAUAUUUCGCUUCCAUUUGGAGUCGGCUUGCCCGGCCAACGGUUUAAUCCGGCGAAAGGGGUAGACAGAUCAGAUAAAUGAUGGGAGAUUUACUUAUUGUAGAUUACAGAAUCCGGCUUACAGCUUUGCAAAUUUU